Molecule: ribosomal RNA, 496 nt
Filed under: uncultured bacterium
Lineage: Bacteria
Description: partial 16S ribosomal RNA
Rfam family: Bacterial small subunit ribosomal RNA
Source: RNAcentral
ACGAACGCUGGCGGCGUGCUCAACACAUGCAAGUCGAACGGUGAAGCGCCUUCCUUUUUGGUGGGUGUGGAUGAGUGGCGAACGGGUGAGUAACACGUGAGUAACCUGCCCCCUUCUUCUGGAUAACCGCAUGAAAGUGUGGCUAAUACGGGAUAUUCUGGGUCUGUCGCAUGCUGGGUCUGGGAAAGAUAUUGUUUCGGUGGGGGAUGGGCUGCUGGCCUAUUAGCUUGUUGGUGGGGUGAUGGCCUACCAAGGAGGUGAUGGGUAGCCGGCCUGAGAGGAGGAUGGGCGACACCAGUAGGGCUAAGACGCGGACAAGACUACUGCAGGAAGCAGCGGGGAAGAAUGUAGCACGGGGGGCGGAAGGCUGAAGCAACGACGCGGGGUGGAGGAUGGCGGCCGUCGGGUUAUGAACCUCUUUCGCGAGUGAAGCGGGCCUGCCUCAUAUGUGGGUGGGUUGACGGUAGCUGAAUAAGAAGCACCGGCUAACUACGUG